Molecule: ribosomal RNA, 459 nt
Filed under: uncultured bacterium
Lineage: Bacteria
Description: bacterial SSU rRNA
Rfam family: Bacterial small subunit ribosomal RNA
Source: RNAcentral
UACACAUGCAGUCCAACGGAAAGGCUCCUGCUUGCAGGGGUACUCGAGUGGCGAACGGGUGAGUAACACGUGGGUGAUCUGCCCUGCACUUCGGGAUAAGCCUGGGAAACUGGGUCUAAUACCGGAUAGGACGAUGGUUUGGAUGCCAUUGUGGAAAGUUUUUCGGUGUGGGAUGAGCUCGCGGCCUAUCAGCUUGUUGGUGGGGUAAUGGCCUACCAAGGCGUCGACGGGUAGCCGGCCUGAGAGGGUGUACGGCCACAUUGGGACUGAGAUACGGCCCAGACUCCUACGGGAGGCAGCAGUGGGGAAUAUUGCACAAUGGGCGCAAGCCUGAUGCAGCGACGCCGCGUGGGGGAUGACGGCCUUCGGGUUGUAAACUCCUUUCGCUAGGGACGAAGCGCAAGUGACGGUACCUGGAGAAGAAGCACCGGCUAACUACGUGCCAGCAGCCGCGGUAAU